RNAcentral lists this ribosomal RNA (253 nucleotides) under uncultured bacterium. RNAcentral describes it as "partial 16S ribosomal RNA". It matches the Rfam family "Bacterial small subunit ribosomal RNA", at positions 524 to 776 of the family's 1533-position model. The record is from RNAcentral.
UACGAAGGGGACUAGCGUUGUUCGGAAUCACUGGGCGUAAAGCGCACGUAGGCGGAUUUGUAAGUCAGGGGUGAAAUCCCGGGGCUCAACCUCGGAACUGCCUUUGAUACUGCAAGUCUCGAGUCCGAUAGAGGUGAGUGGAAUUCCUAGUGUAGAGGUGAAAUUCGUAGAUAUUCGCAAGAACACCAGUGGCGAAGGCGGCUCACUGGCCCGAUACUGACGCUGAGGCACGAAAGCGUGGGGAGCAAACAGG